Molecule: ribosomal RNA, 563 nt
Filed under: Peniophorella fissurata
Lineage: Eukaryota; Fungi; Basidiomycota; Agaricomycetes; Hymenochaetales
Description: partial small subunit ribosomal RNA
Rfam family: Bacterial small subunit ribosomal RNA
Source: RNAcentral
GCGGGGGGUGACAGCUACUGAAUCAUAGGUGUGUCAUCUGUGAUAAGGUAAGAGUAUAAUAAUGAUAUUAUCUUACUAUUAGUGUCGUCCAAAUACUAGUGCCAGAAGACUCGGUAAUGCUAGAGACGCAAACGUUAGUCAUCUUUAACAGGCGUAAAGGGUGUGUAGGCGGUUUUAAAAAUAAGUUUAUUUUAACUUUAAGGAAUUACAUAUUAAUAUUAAUUCAAGUUAGUUUUAAUAUUAUGUAAUUAAAAUGAACAAAUAAAUUAAAGCUAGAAUCAAGAAGAGGUUAAUACAGAUAAUGCUUAGAGUUUUAGGAUUGACAACUAUAAAUCCUGAGUGGAAUAUUAAUGGCGAAAGCACUUUUCUACUAUUGAUUGACGCUGAGAAACUAAGGGGAGGGUAGACAAAAGGAUUAGAGACCCUCGUAUUCCUCUCUGUCAACGAUGAAUGGUAGCUACUAGAUUAUAGUAAACUAGAGGCGAUGUUAACACGAAAACCAUUCCGCCUUGUGAGUACGACUGCAAAGUUGAAAACAAAAAAAUUAGUCGGUUCGAGCCAAG